UUCUGAUAUGCAAAAAGAUAUGGCUGUUCUUCUUCCAAAUCCUCCCAUUACUGGCCAGUUACAGAAACCAUAAGCAAAAUCAUGAUAUGUUACAUUGAAUUCCUUUGAUUCAUCUAUCUUACCAAACAGAUGGUUUUGUAACCAUCUGAUGGCUGUAAAUGUGUCUUUUAGAGCCAUGGACGACUCUUAUUUUACAAAAUUUGGUGGAAAAGACAAAUCCUGGCUGAAAAUGAAUCCCCUUUCCAAGCCCUAAUCUGACGGGAGAGAUUCUUUCACUCAUUCUUUCUCUUCGGUUACAAAAUUUAAUGAACGCCGCAUUAAAAUCCAAUUAAGCCCUAUAUUAGGGAUUUUCUUCUCCUCCCGUUGUUCGCCGGUUACACAAGCCGUUAUCAAAAGAUUCAAAACCAUUAUUUGAAACAUUCAAUCCCUUAGAUUCAUACCUGAUAAUCAAUCUCUGACGUUACAGGAACCCCCUUGAAUGUUCAACUACAUAAAUCUCAACAUAAUCUUCCCAGGUUUCUCCGUUUUUUUCUUCAGCAUGCUCUCUCAAAAAAACCAGGGAAUGAAGAAGAACACGAUACUCUCUAAGUAUCCUCCAAAUGAAGGAAAAUCACGAUGCCUCCAUUUUUUUCUCAAUCUUUGUUAUCAGUUUUUUCUCUCAUCGGAUACUUUCUGCAGAGGAGAACAAUAGAAGAAGAAGAUUGGUGGAUAGUCAUGCUAAACGAGUAAUCAAAACUGAAGGGUCGGGGUUAAGAGUGAAGGACUAAGAAGAUGGAGAUGUAGUAUGAACAUUAAUCACCAGCAAUUUCAAGACCUACAAGUGCAGAAAACAAUGUAAAGAUCAGCAGCUUACCACGGCCUCACAAGCCAUCUCUUGCUUGAACUAAGGUCCGUGUUUCACAAUGCUUUUUAAGAGUCCGAUUAAAUUUUGUUUUACUUUGCAUAUUAUUAUUCUUCAGUUUUUUACUAUUUCAAAGUGACUUGCAAGACUGUCCAAGCUUUAAGGAUGAUGUAUUGAACGAUAUUGUUUCGAGAUGGAAAGGCACUUGCAUGGCCCGGGAUGAUUACAGAAAAUCUCACCUUAGAAGGUUAAAUGGUGAGUUAUAUCACUUGCAUGGCCCGGGAUGAUGUAUUGAACGAUAUUGUUUCGAGGUGGAAAGGCACUUGCAUGGGCCUGGAUGAUUACAGAAAAUCUCACCUUAGAAGGUUAAAUGGUGAGUUAUAUCUCUUAUAUUGUAUGUCCAAACGCCCAAACUCAGUGGCUAUAAAGGUGCAUCUACUGUCUACAUUUUUUCGUUGUUGUAGAUAAUUUUGCAACAUGGCUAAGAAAAUCUAGAAUAAAUAUCGAAAAAUUGCUCGCACCAGAAAUAAUAGUACGUCAUGCUAUUCGUUGGGCCUCUGAAAUGAUUUAUUACACUACAUUUGUAAUAACGCAAACGGAAUUAUCUUUGCCACAUAUGUAAACCUACAUAAAUUAAGGUCUAAAUAAGACCUCCAUAUGAGAAUUUUUAAGACCCACUGUUCAAGAAGUGGAUAUAUUUGUAAACGAUAGAUUUUCCCAGUCAAAG
Papaver somniferum (opium poppy) is the source of this 1568-nucleotide long non-coding RNA. RefSeq lists it as uncharacterized. The record is from RefSeq and is a predicted model, not a curated record. The transcript is spliced from 4 exons. Lineage: Eukaryota; Viridiplantae; Streptophyta; Magnoliopsida; Ranunculales; Papaveraceae.